Molecule: ribosomal RNA, 805 nt
Filed under: Azospirillum sp. AKB-2008-KU2
Lineage: Bacteria; Pseudomonadati; Pseudomonadota; Alphaproteobacteria; Rhodospirillales; Azospirillaceae
Description: bacterial SSU rRNA
Rfam family: Bacterial small subunit ribosomal RNA
Source: RNAcentral
CUGGCUCAGAACGAACGCUGGCGGCAGGCCUAACACAUGCAAGUCGAACGCACCGCAAGGUGAGUGGCGCACGGGUGAGUAACACGUGGGAAUGUACCCUUUGGUUCGGAAUAACGUUUGGAAACGAACGCUAAUACCGGAUGAGCCCUGCGGGGGAAAGAUUUAUCGCCAAAGGAGCAGCCCGCGUCUGAUUAGCUAGUUGGUGGGGUAAAGGCCUACCAAGGCGACGAUCAGUAGCUGGUCUGAGAGGAUGAUCAGCCACACUGGGACUGAGACACGGCCCAGACUCCUACGGGAGGCAGCAGUGGGGAAUAUUGGACAAUGGGCGGAAGCCUGAUCCAGCCAUGCCGCGUGAGUGAUGAAGGCCUUCGGGUUGUAAAGCUCUUUCGCACGCGACGAUGAUGACGGUAGCGUGAGAAGAAGCCCCGGCUAACUUCGUGCCAGCAGCCGCGGUAAUACGAAGGGGGCUAGCGUUGUUCGGAAUUACUGGGCGUAAAGGGCGCGUAGGCGGCUUAUCAAGUCAGGCGUGAAAGCCCCGGGCUUAACCUGGGAACUGCGCUUGAGACUGGUAGGCUAGAGUACCGGAGAGGUAGGUGGAAUUCCCAGUGUAGAGGUGAAAUUCGUAGAUAUUGGGAAGAACACCAGUGGCGAAGGCGGCCUACUGGACGGUAACUGACGCUGAGGCGCGAAAGCGUGGGGAGCAAACAGGAUUAGAUACCCUGGUAGUCCACGCCGUAAACGAUGUCGGCUAGACGUUGGGGCUCUUAGAGUUUCAGUGUCGCAGCUAACGCAUUAAGCCGACCGC